This 386-nucleotide long non-coding RNA is filed under the name Mus spicilegus (steppe mouse). RNAcentral describes it as "HOXA transcript at the distal tip, conserved region 2 (ENSMSIG00000009729.1)". It matches the Rfam family "HOXA transcript at the distal tip, conserved region 2". The record is from RNAcentral. Lineage: Eukaryota; Metazoa; Chordata; Mammalia; Rodentia; Muridae.
AGGGAGUCCUUUCUCUCCUGACUUUAGCGGUCCUGGGUAAAUAUUGAUUUGCCCCGAGUUUACCUUCUUACUGCCUGACCAUUUGCAGACUAAAGAACUAACCUCUGUGAAGACUUGAUUUCUGUGUUACUUUGGAGCCCUUUUCAUCCGUCCCCCCACUCCUUCCUCCCUCUAAGUGGCAUUGUAAAACUCAACAGUGACAAAGAGACGAAGUACGGUUCCAGGCUCCAAUUCACGGAGACUCUCGGAGACUCGGAGACUCGAGGGCAGUUUACAUACAGGUCAGACACGCUGGAGGCCAAGGUCAAGUUGAAAGUUGCUGUCUAGUCAGCGUGAGAAACUACAAUGAAAGCCCAGAGACAGAGCCGACUGCCCACCUCCCCUCG